Molecule: long non-coding RNA, 9967 nt
Organism: Homo sapiens (human)
Lineage: Eukaryota; Metazoa; Chordata; Mammalia; Primates; Hominidae
Exons: 3
Source: RefSeq, a predicted model, not a curated record
CAUUGUUAUAUUCAUUCUACCUUUUUCAUUUCUUUUGACUCCCUCUUCUUCCAGUCCCACUGCUACUGUCUAAGCUCAGGGCCUCUGAGCUGCCCUUUUAGUUUCCUGGCAUCAGUAUCCUAACCCUGCUCAUAACUCUUCUGUGGCCAUCCGAUGUUCUUACAGGAAACCCUCAACAUUUUCGCAUGGCAUUCAAAUCCUCCAUGAGGCUUCCCCUGGCUAUUUCAUCAACAUAAUAUUUUGCUGCACUCCAUCUAACCCCAGGUUUCAAGUUAUCCAGACUUUCUGUGACUCCCACAACAUCUCAAGUUGUUCCCUCCAUCUGGACUUUGCUCUCCCUAGUCUCCCUUCCAGGAAAGCUAACUUCCCUCUCUCUUCCUGUCAACACUUUCCUAUGUUGUCCUUUAAUAUUUAUGAUCCUGCCUCCACAGGAAAUCGCUAUCUUUUUAUUAUGUCCCAACUAUACUCUGUACAGAUGCCUAUGACAACAUCGAUAGCACUUUAUUACACUUAAUUUUAAAACUUUUGCAUCCCUCUAUUUGACCUGGAGGAGCAGAAAAUAUAUCAUUUUAACUGUUUGUCCUAUGCCUAGCAGUGAAAGCAUUCAGAAUAUGCUUUGGAGGAAAGGAAGGAAAUUAACACACUGAUCCUCUAUGGAGAAAAUAAAUUAGUCCAUCCUCUGAGAGAAAAGAAUAAUUCAAGGAUUCCUCAUGCACAUCAAUUCCUGAGGGAAGCAUUUCCUGAUAUUCUGCCCACACCUCUACCACCACCUAAGAUAGGGGUAAGAACAUCAUCUAGGUCACUCUCAUAUGUGAUUAUUGGAUCACAUAAACAUUAUAGUACCAUGGCCUAUUUAUGUAUCUACCUACAAUAUUGGAUAUGAAUUCUUCAUAGAUAGAAAUCAUCUGAUUCAUCUUUGAAUCUCCAGGUUCUGACAUGGAGAUUCUCAUUCAAUUAAGGUUUAUUGAACUAAACUAUAUAAGAUAAGGCAAAGCUGGUUAUAAUGCAAUAUUCAAAAUGGAAGCAUUAAAGAUAUUGUAAUGUACUUCCCAGGGUAAAGGACAACCUAAGGAGUAGUAGGCCUGGAAAAUGGGAAUAAAAAUGGCAUAGCUAAACUAUUUCUGGACCAUGGACCUUUUGACAGUCUGGAAAUGCCUUUAUACUUCUUCUCUGACAAUGUUUCAAAUACAUAGUAAAAUACGUAAUAUGACAAACUAAAGUAUUUCUUGACGAAAAUGUAGAAAAUCUUUGUGACCUUUGGUUAAGAAAAUCUUUCUCAGGACACAAAAACACAAACCAUAAGCCAAAAAAUUGACAAAUUGGACUUAGUCAAAAUUGUAAAUGUCUGCACUUCAAAAGAACUGUUAAGAAAAUGAAAUACAGGCCACACAUUGAUAAAAGAAAAACUGCAAAGCACGCACCUGAUAACUUGCAUGCAGAAUACAUAAAUAACAAAACAUUCAACUCAGUAAAAAGAAAGGCAAAGAGUUGGAACAAAUGUCCAUCAAUGAAGAUGUACAGAUGGCCAAUAAACACAUGGAAAAAUACACAAUAUCAUUAGUCAUCAGGGGAAAUAGAAAUCAAAAGUACAAAGAGAUAUCACUAUACUGCCAAUAGAAUGGUUAAAAUUAAAAGAAUUGAUAACAUUAAUCAUUGGAGACAAUACAGAACAACCAGAGCACUAAUAUGUUGUGGAUGGGAAUAUGAACAAUAGGGUUAUUUUGGAGAACAAUGUGACAGACUUUUAUAAAGUUAAACAUAUACUUACCCUAUGACCCAACAAUUCCACUCAUAGAUAUUUACUCAAGAGGAAUGAAAACAUAUGUUCACACAGCAAAUGUUAAUAGUUGUUUUAUUCACAGUAGCCAAAAUUCCAUUAACAGGAAAAUGGCUAAAAAUAUUGUGGUAUAUUCAUACAAUGGAAUACAGCUAAGCAGCAAAAAUGGACAAACUACCAAUAUAUGCAACAACACGGGUGAAUUUCAAAAUCUCAUUAUACUAAGUGGCUAAGUAAAAUAAGCCAGGCACAAUAGACUACAUGUUAUAUGGUUCAUUUAUAUGACAUUCUAGAAAAACUGUGGAAACAGAAAACAUAUCACUGGUUGCCUGUGGACUGUGAGGGAAGAGAGGCAUUGUCUACAAAGAAACAUGCGGGAAUUUUCUGCAGUGAUUGAAAAUAUCCCAAAUCUUAAUUUUGGUUGUAGAUAUACAACUUGUAUGUUUGUUAAAACUCACUGAACUGUAUACUUAAAAGGGGUCAGUAUUACUGCAUGUAAAUUAUUUUUCAAUAAAGCCUGAGUUUUUUUUAAUCUUAAAGUUUUAUCAGAGAGAAAUUAUGAGUUACUAGUUAUUAGUGUUACUAAAGCUAACUUGCCCUUUUAGAGAAUUCAAGCUCAGGUUUUCCCCCCGCCCAAAGGAAAGGCAUUUGUUCAUGCUCUAAAUACUGAGAGGAACAGAUGCAUUGGCUCAGCAACUUACUGAGUUUGUAUGCUAUUUGGAAAUUGGAUUGCUUUGAUAAAUUACUUGCUAGCCAAGAAGAGCAUUAAGGGAUUAUUUGUCCGCCAUGAUUUCAAAUUUUUCCCUAAUGAUAAAAUCAUUUGAAAUAAAAGAGUGCAGCCAAAGUAGUUUUACUUGGGAAGAUAUUAUUUCAUACAUAGACAUGUCAGAAACAGUGUAAGCAUGAAAAGGAAAUAUAUUCUAAUGUUCCCUUUUUUACUUACUUUGUUGUAAAUAAUAGCACCAAACAAUUUCAAUCCUAAAUAGCACAUACUUCAGAAUUCCCUUUAAGUGCUUAUCAUCUUAAAGACUUGAAAUCAUAUGUGGUUGUGGGUGUUGUAAACUUCACUCUUCAAUUUGAAUCUUUACUUCUCAGUUCAUUUUAAUACCUGCAUUAAUUCUAACGAUUUGGGGAGACUACUAGAUUAUAGCACUGUUUUAGCAUGUUUAUGUGCUCUAAUAUUUGCCUACUGCAUUACAUAGCACACUUUCUUUUAAUAGGACUCUAUGUGUUUUAAGAAUUUCCUUGCAAAUAAUUGAUAUUUAAAUCAAUAAGGACUCUACGUGUUUUAAGAAUUUCCUUGCAAAUAAUUGAUAUUUGAAUCAAUAAUGCAAAGAAAAAUGUUAAAAUCUUCAUAAAGGAAAUUUCUUUCAUUUAUUUGUUAAUAAAACAUUAACAUUAUCCGCCUUAUCCAAAACAAUUGUUUCUCAUGUACAGUUUAUGGAAUGAAAAGCCACUGCUUAUUUUAAAUGAGUUCCUGUGUAACUGUCAAAUUAAAUGAACUAAUUCUUACCUUUAGGCCUUUUCAACAUUUUGUCAUAACAUUAGUUGUUUUAAUGAACUGGUGGUAGAUAGUUUAGUUAUUUCCAAUUUUUUUUAUUGCGAGAAAGACCAACUAACUACCAAGUUAGCACAUAUUUUUACAUUUUUCCUUGUACAGAGUUGAGCUUCAGGUAAUUGUUUACUGUCUUUACAUGAAGCUAUUCUUUUACAUAUCUAGAUCUGCUGAUGUCUGACACACUAGCUACUGGCCACAUAGAAUUAUUGAAAUUAAUUAAAAUUAAAUUAAAAGUGUGGUGAUCCUAGAUAAAUUUCAUGUGCUCAAUAGCCACAUGUGGUUUGUGGCUAUCCUAUUGCUCAGCACAAAUAUAGAAUAUUUUUAUCAUCACAGCCGUUGUAUUACUUACUGCUUGUCUAGUCCAGGGUCAGAAAACCUUUUCUUAAAGUAUUAGAUAGUAAAUAUUUUAGGAUUUAUGGGACAAGAGGCAAAAUUGAAUCUAUCAUUUAGGUACUUAUUUAACCAUGUGAAAAAAUCAACCCAUUCAAAUAUGGAAAAACCAUUCUUCACAUGAAGGCUGUAAAAAACAGGCAAUAGGCUGGAUUCGAGCCAUAAUUUGCCUACUCGUGGUAUAGAUCAUUCAAUCCUAUAUUCAUUAAGCACAUCUUUAUUGAGCGCCUCUAUCUUUUAAGCAGUGGCCUAAAUAUUAAGCUUAGUGAACAGAGAAACAGUUCCAACUCUCCUGGGGUUCAAAACAUAACAGAAAAGACAUAUCAAAAAUUAGACAAUUAUUCAAUUGUUAUAAUUUGACAAGUACAACGAAGGAAAUGUAGAAGAUGUGCAGGGAAAACUAAACCAGCCUAAAAAUUAACUUGACCCUAAAAAUUAUCUGCAACUAAUAUUAUGUUUUAAUAUGUGCCAAGUGCUGUUUAUUUUAAACUUUCCAACUGAUCUACGUGAAAAAGAUGCUGUAUACAUUAAUGAAUCCAGCUAAUAUUUUUAAUGGAUUAAUGUUCAGAUGUAUAAUGUUCUCAUAAACCAUCUGUUCUAUAAAUCUGAAAUAAUGGUACAUCUAAUGAUAAAAAUGAUGUUUGAAAAAAUAAUAUUUGUUGAUAUUUAUAAUUUUCUUUUACUUUUCUUUAUCUAGAAUCUUUUGUAAGAAUAAAAAUGUAUGAAUUGAAUGUUUCCUUGUAAUCAGAAAAACUUGCCACAGAUUACUCCUAAUAGGGCCCGUACUUUCUAUUAAUUGCUUUAAUCAAAAUUCAAAUUGAGUUCCUCAUUAAAUAAAAUAUUGUGAUGCACAUAAAACCAGCCAACUUUGACAGACUUUUUUUAGGACACAUGACUUCUUUUUAUUUAUGAAAACUCAGUACAUAUAGUCAGCAAAGCAAAAUAAAAAUAUAUUCUCCAUGAUCCCUAUACUAGCAAUGUUCCUCAAUAUUAUAUUUGAGUUUCUUAGGCCUUUCUGGCAUUUUGCAGUUUACUUAAAUGCUGCCUUUUUAUUGUUAGUGUCAAGAACUUUAUAUAAAUCUAAAUAUUUGAUCACUGAGCAUGUGUGUGUAAGAGAGACUUGAGCAAGCAGAAAUCAUUUUAAAUUGGGCACACGCCCUAAAUGACAAAUAGGCCAAAUUGAAAUUGCUUUUAGAGAUUAAAUCAUGUGCCACAUAUCUGCUUUGUUGCAAUAAAUAAACCCCAAACUGUUAAUUAUGGCAUUUAUAUAUCAAGAUGAGGAUGAAAUAAAGAGAAUGAAAUAUUUCCCAAGGUCAUAACAUUGAAUGUUUAUUCUUCAGUUUCACUAAAAUUAACAGGCCCAGAAGUAAAUCCUUCUACUGUCUCAGAGUUACAUUGUUCUUUCCUGGUGACAAAUUAAGUGUUCCAAGAAAUUAUAAUUUGACAUUCCCUUUAUAUUUUCUUAGAACAAUGCAUGUUGGAAUGAUGCCAAGAAUAUUGGAAUUUAAAACCAAAUAAAAAAAAGUAAUGACUGAGUCCAUCAAGAAAAAAAGAUUCUGCCUCUGAAUUGCUAGCUGCAGCACUGCUUUUUGAUCACUUUUGCACAAUUCGUAGCAUAGAGCUGCUACUGUUGUUCUUUAAUACAGCUUUUUACAUAUAAAUUAGCUUCUGGUGCCCUCAAGGUAAAUGUCCUCAGUUUAUCUUUAUUGAGAAAAAAAAAGUGAUAGCCAUUUAAUUUACAGGAUUGAAGCCCUUCCACAGUAAUAAGGUCUUGCUGUCAUCUGGGGAGAAGUCAUAAGGGAUUUUGACCACUGGUGUACAUUUUCCUUGUGGAACAUGGAACUUCUAAGCAUCUGAUGAUAAAUUCGUAGAUUCUUUUAUCCUGUGCAUCCUCCAUCUUCCUCCUUCAUCUUUAGGAAGGGGCUAGGCUCCAACUCGCUCACACAAUACCAUCACCACUGAACUUGGCGGUACUCUUCCGAUGAUUUCCAUUUGUUGGAAACUUGACACAGGAAUUGGUGUUGGUGCAGAGGUGGAAGACGGACACAGUCUGCUGCUGAGGCCAUAAGAGUGUGUUGGCCUGUGGUGACCUGCCUGACAACAGACCUACUAAUUUCAUUUCAACAUGCUGACGUAUGUCUACUGUACCUCAUCAAUGGCUCUGUUCUGCAGAGCAAAAGGAAAACCUACCACAAUGCAUUUGAUUCGAUGAAGAGAUAGAACUUAGUACAGAGUUGUAUUGCUUAGAGUUUGGAAACAAACUAUAAUCAUUUUUAUUGGUAUAUGUUUGAAGUUACCACAGAGGCACAAAACUUUUUUUAAAAAAUCAAGCACACACAAAGAAACAAAAGUUGAAAGUUGUUCACUGGUAACCUAUCUUUUUAAAAAAUAGUGCUAAAGAAAGGAAUUCCUGGGAAGCAUAUAUAUAUAUAUAUAUAUAUAUAUAUAUGUGUGUGUGUAUUUAUUGUGUAUAUAUAUUUACAUUCUUAUUUUAGACAGAACUAUUCAUAUGCAUUUUAUUAAUAAAAUGUUUAGGAACCCACUUCCCACCUUCAUAUGUGUGCUUUUAACUUUUGAGCAUCAGGAGUAACAACUGAGGAAAACGUCUAAGCGUGUUAAGUCUGCUCAUACACCCUCAUUUAUCCCCCAACAAUACACACACAACCUGCAUGUAUAUACAUAAAUGGUACUUAAUGGCAUGUGAAUUUUAUCAGCUUACUCUAUUCUGUUGAAUGCUUUAAGGCACAGAUUAAUAUUCUUACAAAUUGUUUUAUAUAUUUUAAAUAUACUUUUUACUUCAAGAUAAUUUUAGACUUACAGAAAAGUAGGAAAAAGAGUUCUCAUAUACCUCUUACCCCAGUUUUCUCUAAUGUUACACCUUACAUUCCCACAGCGUGUGUGUCAAAAGUAAAAAAGAAACAUUGGAUUAUUACCAUAUUAACUUAACUCCAGACUUUAUUUGGAUUUCAACAGUUUUCCAUUAAUGUCUUCUUUCUCUUUCAUGACCUAAUUCAGAAUACCACAUUGUAUAUAGUGUUUUGUGAUUUUUUAAAAAAAUGGAUGUUUUAUAAGGUUCCACAUUUUUUAAUUCAGUGUCUUGUUUGUGCUUCUAUAUAAGCAUUUAAUGCAACAGUGUUCAUCUGAGUAUUGCUUUUGAGUGCCAAAAUACCAUGUUUUUCACACUCCAAACUCUCAGGAAGGCUUCCGAAGACAACUUGUCCCUUAUUUAUAAUACUAUAUAUUAAAGUAACUGAAAGUAUUCAAAAUAAUGCUUACUUUGUGCAGAGUCCAUGAACUCUAACCAAAAUACAUAAAUGUCAAAUUUGAGCAAUACAUUUUGAUUGAUUUUAAAAUUCCAUUUGAGGCACUACUUUUCUGAAUAGAUGCCCAAGGAAAAUAUUUUAAAAUAUUGUUGUAUUAAAAAAUUGUUUCCUAUAGAAUCUGAAAAGUUCUUUAGGUAGACUUUUAGUAAAAUGUUUGAACAGUUUAAAUGCUAUUUCAGACUGUCAGAAUGAUGAAUGUUUUUAAAUUAUUUUCAUAAUGAUUUAUCACUCCAGUUUACAGUACUUGAAAAAUUUUUUUCGCUUCACCUAAAUAACUGGCAUUUUUGUGUUAUGUUCUUUUCCUCGUUUUAUACUCUGCUCUGAAGCACUUUCAAAUUAAAAAAAGAACAGUAUUGUAUUCUAGGGCCAUUAGUGAAUGUGCAUGAGCUAUUAUAGUCAAUGAAAUAAGCAUUAUAUGAUUGAAGAUUAACUAAGAAAAUGGAUUAUGGUGUAAUUAAAAACACCAAGAUAGGCGGGAUGCAGUGGUUUAUGCCUGUAAUCCCAGCACUUUAAGAGACCAAGGCAGGCAGAUUACCUGAGGUUAGGAGUUCGAGACCAGCCUGGCUAACAUGGCGAAACUCUGUCUCUACUAAAAAUACAAAAAUUAGCCGAGCGUGGUGGCAGGCGUCUGUAGUCCCAGCUACUUGGGAGGCUGAGGCAGGAGAAUUGCCUGAACCCAGGAGGAGGAGGUUCCAGUGAGCCUAGAUCAUGCCACUGUACUCCAUCCUGGGUGACAAGAGCAAGACUCUUGUCUCAAAAAAACAAAACAAAACAAAACAAAAACACCAAGAUAUUCCUGGAAAAGCUAUGAAAAUAUGUUUUUCAGUUAAGGGGAAGCACUUAUCAAUGCUGCCAGUCCUGGUAAAGAUUGUCAACUCUAACAUAAUAUAAAGCAGGCAUUUCUUGUAAUAAAUAUGAAGAGGAUAUUAGCCUUGAUCUUAGCAUAACUCUCUUCCAGGUAGGACUCCAGCUUCUGAAAGUAAUUUUGUAAUGCUCAUCAACUGAAGAUGACUGUAAAGCUUGGCACCAGUUCCUGGAGGCAGCCAUGUUUCUGAUUAAAGUCUGGGCCUAGAGAGCUGUAUGGAAAGGUUUGGAAUAGAGGUGAUUUAGCCUAAAGAAAAUUGCUAAACCAUGGGUUACACACUGGUGGCCUGUAGUCCUAUUUUGUUAGACACAGACAAUGGAUUUUAUUUGUUUUUCAUAUUUGAAUUAAUUUCUGAAUUCUUGAAUAUUGGCAGAUUAUGCUACAGGAAUCUAAAUUACUCUCAUUUCUGCAUGUCAUUAAAAAAGUAGAGAUGAGUAGCAGGCCCCUUUUCCCUGGGGCAUGUGCUUCCCAGCUACAUACACAGCACCCACCACACCAGAGUUUCCCUACCUGGCAACUACCAGUUAUCAUCACUCCUUAAGCAGCUGUUUUCUUACAGUGAAGAAGUUCCGUUUCCAUGGUGCUAUCAAAAGUAAGAAAAGGAACUAUAGUUUGAGAGGCUGUGUUCUUAACCCAUUGAUGCUCCUAAUGGGCCCUGAAGAUAUUUGACCUUGUGACCAUGUGUAAUAAGGUGAUACAUGUUCAUCAAAUUGUGGUGUCCUCCUCCCCUGACUUUCAAAUGGAAUUCAGAUACAAUUUUUACCCUUAUUACGAUUACCUACAAUUAUAAUUAUGCUACUUCUAAGUAUAUGACCUGGGGCAAGUUUCUUGACCUCUCUAUGCCUCACAUUCCUCAACCAUAAAUAGGGGAUAAAAAUAGUACCUAUAUCAUAGAGUUGUCAAAAGAAUUACAUGAGUUAAUGUGUGGAAAGCACUGAAGAUAGUGCCUGGUAAAUACAAUGUACCAUGUAAGUGUUCACUGUUGCAGUCCUCAUUUAUUUUCUGAUUAUACUAACAUUUCACUUAUUCUGUGUUGCUCAUGUCACCUCCUAAUUUGUAAGUGACUGGUAGAAAGAAACUUGUCCCAAGGGUAUCUGACCUUCACCCACACUCAGCACUUCCAUCAGUCUGCAUCAGUUUUAGGGCCUGGAGAUGUAUUUGCACAUAUUGAAGGAGGUAAAUAACUACAGUGAAUAAGAUAACAUUCAGAAAUUCAGGACUGCGACCUUAGAGAUCAUCUAGUCCAGGAGUUGGCAAGCUUUUUCUGUAUGGGACCAGACUGUAAAUAUUUUGGCUUUGUGGCCAUAUUGUCUCUGUGGCAACUACUCAACUCUGCUGGUGCAAUGCAAAAGAAGCCAUGGGUUAUAUGGAAUGAAUAGGUGUGGCUGUGUUCCAAUAACACUUUAUUUAUAGACACUGAAAUUUGAAUUGCAUAUAAUUUUCACAUGUCAUUAAAUAUUAUUCUUCUUUUGAUUUUUUUUCAACCUUUUAAAAAUGUAAAAACCAUUCUCAGCUCUGGGCUAUAAAAAACAGGUGGAAGAUUUCACCCAGGAAUUCCACCUGGGGAUUUUUGUUGAACAGUGAAGCUACCUGGGCCCCACUCCAAACCCAUUGAAUAAAAAUCUCUGGGUGGUGGGGCAAUGGAAUCUGUGCUGUGAACAUGCGUGUGAUCCCUACCAGUGUGGCUCUAGGGACCACACUUUAAGAAACUACCCAAGUGUGGAGACUUUAUGGCCCUCCUCACAGAUCUAAAAAUGAUUUAUUAAGGUUGGUUAUAACAAGUACCACACUGCAAAUAUGAAUAUGAUCACUUUUGUCUUAAAUUACUUAAAUUUACUCUUCACAUUCUCUUAUUUUUAUUAUCAAAAUUUCUUGUAGACAAAGGUCAUUAUUUUCUUCUACUAUGUUUAAGGAAUGUGACAGCACCUUGAACUUACCCUAAAAUCACUGUACAUUAGAGAAAUCCUAUUUCAUGUUUUCAUCAAUGUGGGAAUAUGUGCAUGUUUAGUGACAUUCUUUGUGGUGGCAAAAAGUAAAAUAAACUCUGAAAAUAA